AUGUGGUUUAAUUCGUAUGAUACGCGAGGAACCGUUACCUGGGCUCGAACGUAAGAUGACUGUAGGUGAAAGCUUACAUCUCUUCGGAGCAUUUUACGAGGUGCUGCAUGGUUGUCGUCAGCUCGUGCCGUGAGGUGUCGGGUUAAGUCCCAUAACGAGCGCAACCCCUACCUUAGUUGCCAUCAGGUUAAGCUGGGGACUCUAAAGGAACUGCCUACGCAAGUAGUGAGGAAGGCGGGGAUGACGUCAAAUCAGCACGGCCCUUACGUCCAGGGCUACACACGUGCUACAAUGGCCGAUACAGAGGGCAGCUACCUGGUGACAGGAUGCAAAUCUCCAAAGUCGGUCUCAGUUCGGAUCGGAGUCUGCAACCCGACUCCGUGAAGUUGGAUUCGCUAGUAAUCGCGCAUCAGCCAUGGCGCGGUGAAUACGUUCCCGGGCCUU
This 444-nucleotide ribosomal RNA is filed under the name uncultured Sphingobacteriales bacterium. Its description in RNAcentral is "bacterial SSU rRNA". It matches the Rfam family "Bacterial small subunit ribosomal RNA", at positions 939 to 1382 of the family's 1533-position model. The record is from RNAcentral. Lineage: Bacteria; Pseudomonadati; Bacteroidota; Sphingobacteriia; Sphingobacteriales.